RNAcentral lists this ribosomal RNA (497 nucleotides) under uncultured bacterium. RNAcentral describes it as "partial 16S ribosomal RNA". It matches the Rfam family "Bacterial small subunit ribosomal RNA", at positions 28 to 507 of the family's 1533-position model. The record is from RNAcentral.
GAUGAACGCUGGCGGCGUGCCUAAUACAUGCAAGUCGAGCGAACGGACGAGAAGCUUGCUUCUCUGAUGUUAUCGGCGGACGGGUGAGUAACACGUGGAUAACCUACCUAUAAGACUGGGAUAACUUCGGGAAACCGGAGCUAAUACCGGAUAAUAUUUUGAACCGCAUGGUUCAAAAGUGAAAGACGGUCUUGCUGUCACUUAUAGAUGGAUCCGCGCUGCAUUAGCUAGUUGGUAAGGUAACGGCUUACCAAGGCAACGAUGCAUAGCCGACCUGAGAGGGUGAUCGGCCACACUGGAACUGAGACACGGUCCAGACUCCUACGGGAGGCAGCAGUAGGGAAUCUUCCGCAAUGGGCGAAAGCCUGACGGAGCAACGCCGCGUGAGUGAUGAAGGUCUUCGGAUCGUAAAACUCUGUUAUUAGGGAAGAGCAUAUGUGUAAGUAACUGUGCACAUCUUGACGGUACCUAAUCAGAAAGCCACGGCUAACUACGUG